UGGGGAAUAUUGGACAAUGGGCGAAAGCCUGAUCCAGCAAUGCCGCGUGAGUGAAGAAGGUCUUAGGAUUGUAAAGCUCUUUUAGCAGGGAAGAUAAUGACGGUACCUGCAGAAAAAGCCCCGGCUAACUCCGUGCCAGCAGCCGCGGUAAUACGGAGGGGGCUAGCGUUGUUCGGAAUUACUGGGCGUAAAGAGCGCGUAGGCGGUCUGUAAAGUUAGGGGUGAAAUCCCGGGGCUUAACCUCGGAACUGCUCCUAAAACUUACAGACUAGAGGAUGAUAGAGGAUGAUGGAAUUCCUAGUGUAGAGGUGAAAUUCUUAGAUAUUAGGAGGAACACCGGUGGCGAAGGCGGUCAUCUGGGUCAUUUCUGACGCUAAUGCGCGAAAGCGUGGGGAGCAAA
RNAcentral lists this ribosomal RNA (400 nucleotides) under uncultured bacterium. RNAcentral describes it as "bacterial SSU rRNA". It matches the Rfam family "Bacterial small subunit ribosomal RNA", at positions 355 to 772 of the family's 1533-position model. The record is from RNAcentral.